RNAcentral lists this ribosomal RNA (305 nucleotides) under uncultured Klebsiella sp. RNAcentral's name for it is "bacterial SSU rRNA". It matches the Rfam family "Bacterial small subunit ribosomal RNA", at positions 355 to 655 of the family's 1533-position model. The record is from RNAcentral. Lineage: Bacteria; Pseudomonadati; Pseudomonadota; Gammaproteobacteria; Enterobacterales; Enterobacteriaceae.
UGGGGAAUAUUACACAAUGGGCGCAAGCCUGAUGCAGCCAUGCCGCGUGUGUGAAGAAGGCCUUCGGUUGUAAGCACUUUCAGCGGGAGGAAGGCGGUGAGGUUAAUAACCUCACCGAUUGACGUUACCCGCAGAAGAAGCACCGGCUAACUCCGUGCCAGCAGCCGCGGUAAUACGGAGGGUGCAAGCGUUAAUCGGAAUUACUGGGCGUAAAGCGCACGCAGGCGGUCUGUCAAGUCGGAUGUGAAAUCCCCGGGCUCAACCUGGGAACUGCAUUCGAAACUGGCAGGCUAGAGUCUUGUAGA